GGCAGGGGUGCUUUUGUCCAGGUCUAAUUUAUCAGCUGCUUGUGGGAGUUGAUAUUCAAAGCUAGGUACAAGAAGAUCUGAACUCUUUUUAGGAGGUCCUUCACCAUCUAACAGAGAGCCACUUGCAGAUGAAGAACAUGUGAUGGGAAUUUUAUCCACAAGAGAUUUCAAAAUAUAACUCUUCACGGGCUGAAAGCACUUUAUAAUUUCUUCAAGGCAACGGUUGGGGCGCAGCAUUCCAUCAGAAAUGUCAAUGAAACAAAUUGGGCAGCUGUUCUUUAAACUUAUGUUGUUUCGUAUGCAUCGUGAGCAAACUGGUAAUAAAAGAAAAACAUUACACAGAUAAGUAUUUAAAGGUUCAAAGAAACAAUAUAAGUCAUUACAAUUGUGUGAGCAAGCAGUCGAUAUCACAGGAUUUAUCAUGUAGUUGUAGCAAAUGGGACAAUGGAGACGGUCGUCGAUGUUUUUCAACUGAGUUUGCCUUUCAACUUCUGUGUACAUGUGAUCCCGCCAUCACCUUAACUUUCACGUUGUCAAGUCGCAUUUCUUUCAACAGCACUGUUGCCAAUGAUAAUUUCCGGCUCAACAACUUCGUUUUUGAUUUGAAUAUUACACUUUACGAAUCCAACUGAGAUCACUGUGAAGUUGUACUGAAAUAGUUAGGUCUGAAAAUGAUCAGGAGAUGUUUUACGGAUUUAUCUAGAUUAUAUUGGCAUGGUGUUUCUUAUGAAUAAUAUCUCCACCAUUCCAUUAGCUCUUCGCUCCAUGUUCAUCAACCAGGUGAUUUAAAUAUUGAUGUCCGAGACUUCAUCAGUUAAUUCAGCUAACCCAACAAAAGCUAGAACACUCAAGUGCUCCUUGCAGGUCCCUUGAUGUCAACACCAACAAUACGGGCAGCUCCUACCAUUUUUGCCCGUAUUGCCACAAUAAGCCUGAUUCGACAUAGACCCCAAAUAGCGAAGGUACGUACAUCCAGCCCGCACUUUACUGUGUUGAAAGCCGCCAGACGUCCGUCCCAAUUCCACACCUGAUGAAUCCGUUUCUGUCAUACGGAACAUUUGGAUUUAUCUUUGAAAAAAGAUGAAAUCUUAUUUCGUUGACAAAAUGUGAUUCCAAACGUGCUCCUACAGGGCCCCUUCACUAACCUACACUGCAAACAUUUCCGGGUCGUCGUCAUCAUUUUUCAAGAAAUAAGUCGGUAUGACAAGCACCCGAAGCGACGAUACUGAAGCGGACGUCUCCGAUCCGUAGAACAACUACAUGUGCCGUUUCAAUCACGAGAGGUUCACCAGCCGAGCAAGCAAUGAAAUGCAAAGCCUUGGCGUUUAAUCAUUGGGAAAAUACAACCAAGUUCCACAAGAAACUUCAUCUGUUUCAUGGUGAGUAUGAAUAAAGCAAUCGUAGGAAAGGCCGAGAGAAAGGGCGUGUUGCGAUGUUAUCACAUGACUGAAUGUCGUGUAUUGAUUGAGGCUAGUUGAAGUAGCUCACUUGCUAUGGCCACGUGAGUGCACCAUCUGUUGUUUGACUUGUUGCAGCUUUUCAUUACCUAUGGUUGACGUAAACUCCAUAAUUAGUUGUGUAAAUAACUUAACCGCUUUUAUUAUCUAUCAUGCACUCCAAGCAGUUAACCGCUUUAUCCUCUUGAAUAUAGAGCAGAGUAUUCGAUCGCUUCGGAGGCGGUUGAUAAUUUUGCCGUCAGUCUGAUGUGAAGAGGUUUUUUUUAAGGGAGGGGAUUAGACGCGUUCCCUCUCGAUAGCCUUGUACUAAAAAACUAAUAUGAAGUGAGUGACAGGUACUCAAUCAGCAUACCCGGUGGGAAGGGGCAGUGACUGGAUAGCUAGUUUCAUUUUGUGAUGAGGAAACAUGAUGUUACCGUUACCUAUUUAGCUAAUAUCCUGUUAUUUCUGUUUUUUUUUUAUCAUAAUUUUUAUCUUGAGAUAAAAAUAGAAUCACCAGUACACUAUAGACAAUGGGGACGAUCUUA
This 1984-nucleotide long non-coding RNA is filed under the name Daphnia magna. Its description in RNAcentral is "uncharacterized LOC116932835". The record is from RNAcentral. Lineage: Eukaryota; Metazoa; Arthropoda; Branchiopoda; Diplostraca; Daphniidae.